GGGACGAACGCUGGCGGCGUGCUUAACACAUGCAAGUCGAGCGGAAAGGCCCUUCGGGGUACUCGAGCGGCGAACGGGUGAGUAACACGUGGGCAAUCUGCCCCUCGCUCUGGGAUAACUCCGGGAAACCGGGGCUAAUACCGGAUAUGACCUUCUUAGGCAUCUUUGAAGGUGGAAAGUUUUUCGGCGAGGGAUGAGCCCGCGGCCUAUCAGCUUGUUGGUGGGGUAAUGGCCUACCAAGGCAGUGACGGGUAG
Molecule: ribosomal RNA, 255 nt
Filed under: uncultured bacterium
Lineage: Bacteria
Description: partial small subunit ribosomal RNA
Rfam family: Bacterial small subunit ribosomal RNA
Source: RNAcentral